This is a non-coding RNA of Echinostoma caproni, 46 nucleotides long. Lineage: Eukaryota; Metazoa; Platyhelminthes; Trematoda; Plagiorchiida; Echinostomatidae. The record is from Rfam.
UCCAAGGCCUUUUUGAAGGCCACCACUGUUGUACAGUUUAUGGAAU